Long non-coding RNA from Cyprinus carpio carpio, 920 nucleotides. NCBI's taxonomy places the organism in Eukaryota, Metazoa, Chordata, Actinopteri, Cypriniformes, Cyprinidae. The record is from Ensembl.
GAUGUUCCUGAUUUUAAAAUUUCUGAAGGGAGAUAAUGAAAACACAGACACACACACACACAUAUAUAUAUAUAUAUAUAUAUAUAUAUAUAUAUGUGUGUGUGUGUGUGUGUGUGUGUUUGUUUGGUUGUUAGUUAUUUUGAUGUCCACGCUGUAGGAGCAUUACUAAAUUAGUAAAACUAAAAUGUUUAAGUCUUUUUUUUUUUUUAUAUAUUCUGUCAAUUAUUAUUUUUCUUUUCUGCAUUUCACCUCUGCUAUAGUUUAUUUAUAAUAAACCUGGCAUUGUAUAAUAAAUAUUGUUGUCUCUGUGACAGUAUGCUUAUGUUCCUAGGUUCUUCCAUGCUGAUGGCUGUGCUCUAGAGUCAUAUCUCCCGUCGAAGAACAUUUUUAGACAUUAUGAACCAUGAAAAAGUUUAGCUCCAACCCCAGUUAAGCAGAUCGGGGCAGCUGAUCAAGGAUCACCAGAAACUCUGCAGAACAUUGGUCCUCCAGCCCAGGACUGGACACCAGUGUUUGUCUGUCUCAGAAACUGAAGAAAAGAGGCCACACCUCAGAGGAAAUAAGCGCCUCCUAAGUGUACGGAACUACCUGGCUGAGAAGAUCAGUGACAUAAACCAGAUAAAACUGUCAGUGGUCUAAGACAGCUACAAUGAAGCCACAAAUGCAGUUCAUAGUUCCUGUAUUUCUAUAAUGCAUUAAUGAAUAACAAUAAUUAAAAAAAAAUGUAAUGUCAAGGUUUUGUGUUAAUUCCAGCUAUGUUGAGUAUUCUGUGAAUAAUUUUGAUUUUAGGUGCAUAUUCUUAAUUCUUUGCAAAACAACCUGAACUGUUUGCUAUUGAAAGGUUGGUAUGUAGUUUAAAUAAAUAAAAAUGAUAUUCUUGACAAAACCUGUGUAUAGUUGUAUUAAUAAUUUAAAUUAUU